RNAcentral lists this long non-coding RNA (1304 nucleotides) under Olea europaea subsp. europaea. Lineage: Eukaryota; Viridiplantae; Streptophyta; Magnoliopsida; Lamiales; Oleaceae. The record is from RNAcentral.
CUUCAUUAGUACACUCUACUAGAGUACUUCUUUUAUCAUUAUUAUUUAUCUUUCUUGGACAUGUUUUAGCUAAAUGAUCUGAUUCUCCACAAACAUAACAAUUUAAUUUAUUAGGAUAAUUUCUUUCUGGUUUAAAUUUUCUAACAUGUCUAUUUUCAUCUAAAUAAGGUUUUCUUCUAUUAGAUUUUCUAAGAUAAUAUCUUUUCUUAUAAGAUUGGUAAUUUUUCUUAUUAUCAUAUUUUCUCUUAUUCUUUUCUUUAAACUUAUUUCCAUAAGUCUGAGGUGUAUAAAUAUCUUUACAAAAUUUGUAAUCUGUCUUUUUAAGUUGGUUUUGUAUUUGUAAUUCAAUACAUUUUUCUUCUAAACAUUGCAUUAUAAAUUGUGUCCUAAUUCCUAUACUCCAUAAUGCAUCUGGUCUUUCUUUAACAUUUUUAUUUUCAUUCCAUUUCUUUGUUAUUUCUAAUCCUAAAGGUCCUGGUAAUUUAUGAAAUAAUUUUUUACCUAAUUCUUGAUUAAAAGUAUUUCCUGAAAUAGAGACUAAAUAAUAAUAUUCAUUUAAAAAUUGUUUAACUUCUUUACCAUUAGUCCAUCUAUUUAAACUAAGUUGUUCUAAAUUUCUUAUAGCUUUAUUUUGAAUUAUUAAGUGUCCUGUAUUAGGGUCUGCUCCUGUUAGUAAUUCAUGUAUUUUACUAAAGAAAUUAUAAGGAUUAUUUCCUAAUAAUACUAAUGCUUCAAAUUCUGGUUGUUUAUCUCUUUUAUAAGCUUCCCAUGUAGCUUUAGUACUUUCUCCUAAGAAAGUUUCUAAAUAUCUAUACAUUUCUAAUGGUUCCAUAUUUUCUGCUAAUCUAAUAUAAUGACCUAUUACCGUAUUCUUCCAAACUUCUAUUGUAUUAUUCCACAUCUGGGGAUCAUGUGCUGUAAUAUUUAAUAAUUGUGGUUUGUGAGGUGUCUGAAAUUCUAUUUUAGGUUCUAAGGGUCUAACUUUUCCUCUAGCUAUAUAAUUUCUUUCUUUAUCACUAUAAUUUGUAACAGGUAUUCUAGGAGGAUGUCCACUAUGAUAUUGAUAUGGUUCUGAUUCUGUUUUAGGUUGCAUAACUUCAUCUGCUAAUUCUUUAUAAUUACUAAUUUCUGAUGUUUCUGUUAUGUUAUCAUUUUCUUCUAUAUUAAUUCCUACUCUUAUAUUUUUAAAAUUAUCAUAAUAUAAGUAUUCUAUUUCACUUAUUUGUUUAUUUAAAAACAAAUGAUCUUCUAAUUUUAAAAGUUCUGUAGGAGAUAAGUUCAUUUCUAAUUCUUUAGGAUAUAUU